RNAcentral lists this ribosomal RNA (433 nucleotides) under uncultured bacterium. Its description in RNAcentral is "bacterial SSU rRNA". It matches the Rfam family "Bacterial small subunit ribosomal RNA", at positions 1066 to 1498 of the family's 1533-position model. The record is from RNAcentral.
CGUGAGAUGUUGGGUUAAGUCCCGUAACGAGCGCAACCCUUACCCUUAGUUGCCAGCACGUAAUGGUGGGAACUCUAAGGGGACUGCCGGUGACAAACCGGAGGAAGGUGGGGAUGACGUCAAGUCAUCAUGGCCCUUAUGAGCUGGGCUACACACGUGCUACAAUGGGCAGUACAGAGGGCUGCAAACCCGCGAGGGGGAGCUAAUCUCACAAAACUGUUCGUAGUCCGGAUCGCAGUCUGCAACUCGACUGCGUGAAGUCGGAAUCGCUAGUAAUCGCAGAUCAGAAUGCUGCGGUGAAUACGUUCCCGGGCCUUGUACACACCGCCCGUCACACCAUGGGAGUGGGUUGCAAAAGAAGUAGGUAGCUUAACCUUCGGGAGGGCGCUUACCACUUUGUGAUUCAUGACUGGGGUGAAGUCGUAACAAGGUA